RNAcentral lists this ribosomal RNA (691 nucleotides) under Salmonella enterica subsp. enterica serovar Muenchen. Its description in RNAcentral is "partial 23S ribosomal RNA". It matches the Rfam family "Bacterial large subunit ribosomal RNA", at positions 2240 to 2925 of the family's 2925-position model. RNAcentral also lists the same sequence under 13 other names. The record is from RNAcentral. Lineage: Bacteria; Pseudomonadati; Pseudomonadota; Gammaproteobacteria; Enterobacterales; Enterobacteriaceae.
CCGGGUUGCGGACAGUGUCUGGUGGGUAGUUUGACUGGGGCGGUCUCCUCCUAAAGAGUAACGGAGGAGCACGAAGGUUGGCUAAUCCUGGUCGGACAUCAGGAGGUUAGUGCAAUGGCAUAAGCCAGCUUGACUGCGAGCGUGACGGCGCGAGCAGGUGCGAAAGCAGGUCAUAGUGAUCCGGUGGUUCUGAAUGGAAGGGCCAUCGCUCAACGGAUAAAAGGUACUCCGGGGAUAACAGGCUGAUACCGCCCAAGAGUUCAUAUCGACGGCGGUGUUUGGCACCUCGAUGUCGGCUCAUCACAUCCUGGGGCUGAAGUAGGUCCCAAGGGUAUGGCUGUUCGCCAUUUAAAGUGGUACGCGAGCUGGGUUUAGAACGUCGUGAGACAGUUCGGUCCCUAUCUGCCGUGGGCGCUGGAGAACUGAGGGGGGCUGCUCCUAGUACGAGAGGACCGGAGUGGACGCAUCACUGGUGUUCGGGUUGUCAUGCCAAUGGCACUGCCCGGUAGCUAAAUGCGGAAGAGAUAAGUGCUGAAAGCAUCUAAGCACGAAACUUGCCCCGAGAUGAGUUCUCCCUGAGACUUUAGGUCUCCUGAAGGAACGUUGAAGACGACGACGUUGAUAGGCCGGGUGUGUAAGCGCAGCGAUGCGUUGAGCUAACCGGUACUAAUGAACCGUGAGGCUUAACCUU